RNAcentral lists this long non-coding RNA (932 nucleotides) under Ovis aries (sheep). RNAcentral's name for it is "lncRNA (ENSOARG00000026592.1)". Lineage: Eukaryota; Metazoa; Chordata; Mammalia; Artiodactyla; Bovidae. The record is from RNAcentral.
UAUAUGGUUUAGCAAAUAGUCACUUGUUUUCACCACAUAUUCUUCAAAAAAGUGUAUUUCCCUGCCCCUUUAUUUUUGGACUUGGUGAUAAAUUUAAUAGGUCAAAGGAAUGUGAGCAGAGGUGGCAGUGUGCCAGUUAUAGGCCUAUACUUUAGAAAGCACCAAAUACUUCUGCUUGUUCCUCAGGAAGCUCCAGAGUACUUUAAUGGAAAGAACAUGGUCCCACGUGGCUAUUGUCCCUUUAGCCUUGGUCCAGAAUGACUAUACAUGGAGCAGAGCUACAGGCCUGAGGUUGCUAAGAGACUGAAACAUCAGAAAGAAGAUAUGAAGAGACCCACAGCAUCACAUGGGAAAUUAUCAGAGAGCAGGACCUCAGACCUUACUCCAAGCCUACUGACUCAGAAUCAGCCUAUUAACAAGAUCCAGAGAUGGUACACUUUCAUUUUACAGUAUAAGAAGUACAAAUCUACUCUACCAUUACCCUUGAGAGAUUCUGUAAUUCUGCAUCAAGGUGUGUAUACCUGUGGUGGAUUCAUGUUGAAGUAUGGCAAAACCAAUACAAUAUUGUAAAGUACUUAACCGCCAAUUAAAACAAAUAAAUUUAUAUUAAAAAAUAAAAUUUAAAAAAAUCUUUAAGUUGCUAUUUUCCAAAGAGAUGAGUAGGUUUAUAUCUACACUGUGUAGAUGGUAAUGAGCCAUAUGGAUCAGAAAUUGACUCUGGUUCUAAACUGGGCCCAGAUUCUCAGUAGAGAAUAUCCUAAAGAGACUGGGUUAGUUGGAUAGGUUAAAGUUUCUCAGACUUCAGCAUGCAUCAGGAUACCCUGGAAGAUUUGUUAAUGUGAAGAAUGAUAAGCUCUACCUCAAAGUUUCUGAUGUAGUAAGUCUGGUAUACAGCCUAAGAAUCUGCAUUUCUGACAAGUUUCCAGAUAAUG